ACAGAACGCAGGCACACCCAGGAUGCCGGUCUUUAUAUGCCUGUGGCGUGGGGAUAGGAAUUAUUCCGAAAUUCAAAUGCAACACCAAAAAGCAGUGGUCAUUACAAGGGUGUCGGAUAUGGUUUACAGAGUAGUAACUACGUACACUUUAUACUUGAUGUUGUUUUCAUGCACAUUUGGCAUACAAGACAAGAUUUUGCAACGUAUGAAUCGAGUUCCAUUGGCUCCACGACUGCUUGAUAUUUUCUGUAGUGCCUGCUGUAAAGGGGUGACACAAGCGAAACGUGUUUGUAUGUCCCGAUUUUGUCAGAAGAAACGAUGUUCUACAUAACUUAUUGAUUUACGAAUGACACACCGUCAUGUUCUCUGGACGGCUCAAACGUGAUAUUUUUACAAGUUUUAUAAUGUAUACAUUGAUUGAACAUGUAUUUUUAAAAAUAUGUUAUUCUUUGUUGUUAAAUUAACAUGUACUGAAAUCAGGCCCGGAUUUCUCGAAAGAAACUUAAGCAAAAACUUAGAUUUAAGUCUGAGAUUUUACUUAAAUUUUGACUGCUCAAAUAAAAGAAAACUCAAAACUUAAGUUGAGAUUUCAUGAGAAAUCCAAGCCAGGAUUUGUCUUUGGUGAGUGUGUGUGUGUAGUUGACAUGUUGUAAUCCUGGUGAAUUUAAAGCGUACAAAAUGACAUAGUUUU
Molecule: long non-coding RNA, 691 nt
Organism: Ostrea edulis (European flat oyster)
Lineage: Eukaryota; Metazoa; Mollusca; Bivalvia; Ostreida; Ostreidae
Exons: 2
Source: RefSeq, a predicted model, not a curated record